GACGUAGGGCGCGAGCGUUGUCCGGAUUUAUUGGGCGUAAAGAGCUCGUAGGCGGCUUGUCGCGUCGACUGUGAAAACCCGCGGCUCAACCGUGUGGCGGGCAGUUGAUACGGGCAGGCUAGAGUUCGGUAGGGGAGACUGGAAUUCCUGGUGUAGCGGUGAAAUGCGCAGAUAUCAGGAGGAACACCGGUGGCGAAGGCGGGUCUCUGGGCCGAUACUGACGCUGAGGAGCGAAAGCUAGGGGAGCGAACGGG
RNAcentral lists this ribosomal RNA (254 nucleotides) under uncultured bacterium. Its description in RNAcentral is "partial 16S ribosomal RNA". It matches the Rfam family "Bacterial small subunit ribosomal RNA", at positions 524 to 776 of the family's 1533-position model. The record is from RNAcentral.